This 786-nucleotide long non-coding RNA is filed under the name Sorghum bicolor (sorghum). RNAcentral's name for it is "long non-coding RNA (SBIC_LNC009678)". Lineage: Eukaryota; Viridiplantae; Streptophyta; Magnoliopsida; Poales; Poaceae. The record is from RNAcentral.
ACCAAAGGAGCCUAGAACCUCGGUAGCGAUCCAUAUUGGUGUGGAAUGCUGAAAAACCAUAGGAAAACAAAAUUGCCAGGAGAAAAAUUUGGAAUGCAGGAACUGUGUCGAUUCUGGUCAAGGUAAUGUUGCCAGCAGAUGGUAGUUAUGCUGAUUUUCAGUUUUGAACAGGUAACAGUAAUACUCAAUCCACAAUUCGCAGUGCAGAUAAAACCAUGCUCCAUUUGUUGCCCAGUUAAAGAAUUUGAGCCACUUACUAUAAAGGAUUGCUUGUCGUCGCAGGAACCGCCGCCAUCGAUAGAGAGCUCCUCCCGUGUGGAUCCAUCACCGAGGGGUGCCACCGCCUAGAUCCUGCGCCAGAAGCCCACGAGGUGGUGAAGGACGCCGGAGGUGGUGGAGGUUGCCGCGGGCGCACCACUAGAGGAGAGGGAGGGACGCGCCGUCGCACCUGGAUCUGGUCGAGCAAGGCCGCAUGCGCGCUGCCCUGGAUCCACCAUGCACGAAGUGCCCCAUACGCCCUGGAUCCGCGCGGCCCGUGCUCAUUGAGGCAGAGGGUGGGAGGGAGCGCGACGAGGAAGAUGGAGGGGGCGCCGCCGGGAGCCACCACCUCCGCCCCGGCUUUGAAGUUGGGGAGGGCCUCUGCAAGCGGAUACGAAGGGGAGGAGGGGGCAUCGGAGGGAAGGGGAGGGGAGGGAGGGGAGGGGCGGUCGGAUUUUGCGAGGAGGGGAAGGGGAGGGGGUGGUCGUGUUUUGCAAAGAGGGGAAGAGAAGGGCCUCGGGCGUCUGG